GUUCAAUUUGGCUUGAGACAAUCCAACGGUUGAAAAUUUUUCAAAGUUUUUCAUUUUUUUUUUCGAAGAAAAAAUUCCAAUUCGAAGUUGACCAACACAAUUCCAAUCCGGUUUAAGAGGGAAGGAAAAUUUGUCUGGUUCUGGUUUCAACCUAUGGAGCUUCAGUCUAGGUUAAACCAGGCCGAUUCCAAGUCCGAGCCAAACCAUGGACAGAUGUAGGAAUGAGAAGCAAACCAGCAGAGAACUACAAUCAGUACCACCCUGUAAAAGGAUCCCAGUUUCAUCAAGCAACUUCACUUUGACCACUUUAUUCCAAUUUUGCCAAUUAUCAAACAUAAUUCACCAAUCACACAAAAUGGCAAUCAUGUAUACACAGUCUCAUACCUUGCCAUCUAAAUCACUAUAAAUCACGUAUACACAGUCUUAUAACUUGACACAACUCUUUUCAAAUUGCCGAACCCACUUGGAGGAGUCUAAGGGUUGACAACUAACUGGGCAGUAUCCAAAUAAGCUAUUUUCACUUGCAUCAAUCUCCUCAUAAUAAACAUGCAAAAAUUCAUUAAAGAAGAAUGAAAACAAGAAAAAUUAUAGCUCACUGACAUAGAUUAGUAUAUAA
This 616-nucleotide unclassified non-coding RNA is filed under the name Hevea brasiliensis (rubber tree). The record is from RNAcentral. Lineage: Eukaryota; Viridiplantae; Streptophyta; Magnoliopsida; Malpighiales; Euphorbiaceae.